AAAAAAAAAGUUUUAAAAGUUAUUGGAUGUAACUUUCAAAGCUGAGAAAUACAUAUGUGAGGUCUGUGCUUCAGUUAACCUCUGAAAAUAUUAGAGUACAUCCUCCUUUAUCAAUAUCUUUCAUUCCCAUACGACCUAGCACAGUGGAAUUGGAAAUUGACACACAAUUUCUAUGACUCUCUUUUUUUUCUCUACUUGGUAAUUUAAAUCAUGACUAAAACCACUUGAUUGAAUCCGCUUUAAUCUGACUUAACUUGAAACAUUUGCCAUCAGCGACUGUAAACAACCAAGUUACCCCCAGUUUCAGCAAUGCACAGUUCCCUUUCUUGCCCAAUAACCACCUCAGUAUUGUGGCAAGUUAUGUCAAACAAGCAUUGCAAACAGUUCACCCACACAGGCAGAGGAAGCAACAACAUCCACAGACCAUCCACAGUAGACACUGCAAGUAGGAAGGGAAAAGUGUCAAUUAUGCUUCCUUUAUCUCAAUGAGAGGGAGCAAAUCUAAUUAUAACGGAUGAACAAAUUAUUAUCUCCCAAGGAUGCAAUGAAAAUUUCCAAGAUCUUGAAUCAAAAUGAAAAGUGCUGCAAUUUUUAAUAAUGUAGGAUUAGCUAAUUCAGGUUGUGGAUGCUUUACUGCUGUGACCACAUCUGCUCCUUGAGACCGUCUUCCCUCUGGCCGUGACUGAUGGCUUUGUUCUCUGGACCAGACAGUGCAACUUCAGAAGCCAAAGGUCACCGGCCCCCCCAGGUGUCCAAACACUAGGUGUGGUGUGGCAGGGGCAGCACUCAGAACCCUGGUUUUCCGUCUCCUUCCCUGCUUCCUUUGUGAUUAACGCCACACCCCCCAGGGUCUCUAUUUGCCCUGCUUGGCAGAGCAAAAGACAAUGUUCUUUCAGUUUUCCUUGUUCCUCCCACCGCUUCAUUCACCAGAGGCUUCGCCUUAGUUUGUGUCUUCCUGUUUACAGCAGCAGCAAAAGGCAUUGAAGUACCGAAGUGCACAGAGAACUGUGCGUGCGUGUGAGAAGCUCUUCACAAAACUGUCUACCUACAGGGAUGUCUACGGCAACAUGGCCCAAAAAACCCCCAAACUCUAAACUACACAGAUGAUCAGUGGCCCAGUGGUCAGGACAUAUUUAAGUAUAUUAAAACAGAUUUACCCAAUGGGCUAUGAGGCAGCCAUUAGAUCAGAUAAAUGUGAAAAAAAGAGAAACAUUAAGAUUAUAAUAUAUAGGCAAACACUUAGAACACUAUUGGAAAGAGCAGAAGUUAAAAUUGUACCCAAGUGCUGAUCACAACUUUAUCAAAAGUAUGAUGACAUAUAGAUAUAGCUACAGAAAUUAUAAAAUUUUACAUAUGUAAAUAUAUACAUAUAUCUAUAAAGAGAGAGAGAGGGAUAUAUCUAUAUAUCUCCAUAGACAUAUACAGUGCAAAUAAACUAAAAGAAGGAGUUGGUCGAUGACUAUUAAACUCUAGGACUCUAUGAAAACAGAGUGAUGUAGCUCUGGCCAGACUUAAAAUAUCCAACACUUCAGAAUUACAGAAGCUUGUGACCAAAAGGGACUUGAGUUCAACCUUUUCACUUUACAGCUUAGUAAAUUUACACCAAAAUAAAUUAAGUGACUCAUCCAUGAUCAUACAGCUACUCACUGGCAGAACCAAGACCAGCACUGGGAUCUCUCCACUCAUAAAUCUGUCCUCUUUUCUACAGAGCCCAUGGCAAUGGAUUCAUGCAAAUAAGUCAGAGGGUCCUUGUCAUCACUCAGCAUCCAAAUCCCUGGACAGUUAGGAUCUUUCUCAGGGAAGCAUGCCUUCAAAACACUAAAAUAUUUCCUAAUAAUCAACCAUUUUAUGACUUGAAUUCCCACUCAAAAUUCCAUCCUUGUUCACCAUCAGCAGCUACACCCGAUCAUGUCUCUUAGUGUCCUGUACUUCCCACAAAAUGAUGUGUGUCCACUGCAAAGUGAAACUGCAAAUCCUGCCCCCAAAACAGAAUUUCAGGAGGUUAAUCAAAAUGACAUUAAAGAACUUCCCCAAUAACAGGUAAAAACAAUGGCAGACGGGGACUAAGCAGUUUGAGGAGGAGACAAUCAUUAAAGAGAAAAACUGUAAGUUGGUGGCAAGCUAGGGAUUUCAAUAUGGAAUGAGUUUAAUAUUAAAGAAUAGAAAAGACCCCAAAGGAAAAUGAUCAAGACCUGGAAUAUUUUUGAAAAACUGGCCAUCUUUAAGAUGUGAUGUAAAUGUCACAUGUGAUUUAAAAAGUACCACAAUUUACGAUCAUACAAUUUUGUCCAAAGAUUUACUCAUCUCAAAACCAUCAACAGUUGAUUUUCCAUUGCUCAUUCUAAGAGACAGCCAUGGUCAAAAUGAUAAUCUAAAUUUUGUUGACUAUAAACUAAAAUAAACUUAUUUUCAUAAUUUUCAGUUUAUUUUUUUGCAAGAUAAAAUCCCAAAGCUUUUUUUCAUUACAUUAUGAAAUUUUGGUCCUCAUUUAAGUGGAUUCACUUCAAAUGGCCUUUUUCUGGUUCUAAUUAUCCUCGAAUAACAAGGACCUGCUGUAGAAUUUUCAGAAAGAAUUUUUUAAAGUAUAAAUCAGUAAUAUGGAGGGUAUUUAUCUAUCAUUUCAAGCCAAGCAUGCAUUUUAGAAGCGGAAACUUCAGAUCCGAAAUAUGAACUACUCAGGGACGUCACGUCUCUAGCUGGCCCCUCUAUCCUCAAAAAUAACACAUUUUUAUAUUUUGUUUUAUACAAAAUGAAAGCAAAGAUUACAAAAUUACAAAUGACUAUUUUGUCCCAAUUCUUUUAAAAAGUGUGAGAAUAUAAUAAUGCAUUUAGCAUCCUGAAUUACAUAAUUAAGUUUCCAGUUUUACCAUCCUAUUUUAUUUGAACAAAACCAUGGAAAAAGCUCCAUGAGGUUCUAAUAGUUGCUGAUUUGCAUACUGUGAUUGGUUUUAUCACCUGCAAUUAUCUGUAGUUCUGUAUAAUUCAUGGUCUGAACUUCACCUGAGAACAAUCAAGUUGGCUGAGUUUCCCUAUGUUCAAAAUGUUUAUUACAUGAAAAUAGUUAAUAUUCAGGGCUCUCUAACAUUCACGUAGAAAAUGAAAGCUAUUCUAGUAUGAUAAAAACACAAGGCUUCAUUUUAGAAGCUUCAAUUAUUUAAUGGAACAUUUUCUUCCAGAAGAAUAAGAAAAAUAAGAGGAUAUUUUUCCAUUAAAUAAAAUUGCAACAUUCUAUAGUAGAAAGAUAUUUUUCCUUUUACUUUCCAAAUGGGUAACAAUAUUAGUGGUCUAAAUAAUUGAUGAUGAACACUUAAACUAUGUGGGAUAAUAAAUAAUUUUUAAAGAUUCAUUUAUUAGGGACUUGUCAGCUUCUAUGACCAAGAAAAUAAACAAUUUAUGAUUUAGUUUGUUUACUAAUUCUGUCUCAAAGGUCAAGACCAAGAAUAUUGACUCAGUCUUGCUGUCAGACUCAUUUAUCUCUCAAAUCAGUAUAAAUGUAUGGCUCAGGAUUAAGAUGUGACUAGUAGUUCUCUCCAGGAAGGACAACAAGGCCCCGGUUCCCCACAGCCACCAGAUGCAGAGGGACAGCGAUGUGGAACACCUGCCAGGCUCUACUGCAGACGCCCGGAUUGUUUCACUGCUGCAGUCUAAGGACAAGAAGAAGAGUAAGCUCGAAACCAGCUCCCAAAUCUGAGACUCACGCCAAGGGAUGAGAAGAGCCCUCUGGCCCUUCCUGGAAGGGACGCAGUGAGCAGCCAGUAGCACAGGGAGCUCAAGGACAGGGAACCCUGCUCCAGCUUGCUCAGGUGAGCGGCCGUCAACCUCCGUGAAGAACCCUGGUGGUUUCAGGGCCAUCGAAAGGACGUUUUUGUGCAGGGAAGCUUGAGCAACCCACAGAAAACAAGAAGUCAGGAAUUUGGCUCCUUAUUUUCAGCCAAUUGACUUAGAAGCAGAUAUUUCUCAACAUUAAACCUGCCUUUAAAAGGAAAGGCAUUCCUAGACUUACUUUUGACUCUAAGAGAUGAGACGAUUAAGAUGAUAAAGCUGAGCAGCCUUCUAGGCAUGAGCGAGGCAGAACACCCUACCCCAUAAAAGCAGGUGGGCCAGGUGGGCUCAGGGAUGCCUCGGACUGAGGCGUUCGGCCACUUCCUAACUCGGGCAGCUUCCUCCCUUCUCCAAACCUCUUUACUCUUCUGUAAAACGGGUAGAGGAACAAACCCACACAAUUCUGACAGCUGUAGGUAUCAAGCAUGCAGCACUGUGCUUGGCAUACACAAAACGUUCGGGGGUUAGUUAUUACUAUUUUUCUUACUAAAUUCAGAAUAGAAUAACUUUCUACCUUCUCUGAACUUUGGGGGAGGCUGCAUUAGACGUUUUCUCUAAUUAAAGCUGACCCUUUCCGCCCAAAACUAUGACCAGGGAUUUUUUUAUUACUAUGAAGAUACAGAAACACUAAGACUCCAGAAGGCAGCAUUCUGAACUCCUUUUUCCUGCCUCCAGAAUAGACACGCCCCUUAUGACUGUGUUUAAUGAUCACUGACAGUGACAUAGCGCCAGGCCCCCAAAGUGUUUUCCAUGUCUUAACUUAUUUAAAACUCAUAAUCCUAUGAGGCAGGAAGGGUCCUUAUCUCCAUUUGACAGAUCAGUAAACUGAGACACAGAACCGUUAGGCAACUUGUCCAGGUGUCACAGCCAAACCAGGAUUCAAGCCAUGCAGGGCAGCUGCAGAGUCCGCACAGGACCUCUGUUUUGUGUAUGUAUUUGGGGGGUGCAGAGAAGAAAGGCAGGGAGGGAAGAAGAAGGAAAAAACAAAACAGUCUAGAAGAUUCUCUCCCUCAAUACACACACACACACACAUUCACAGCAAAGAAAAUUUCAAUUGUAAAGACAUCACCGAGUACAUUCUCACCGGCUGGUUGUUCUAAUAAAAAUGUUCAAUAUCUUAGGAAAAGGGCAUUCUUUUCCUAGAGAUACUUGGAGAAGCAGGAGGCAAGAGAGGCCUGGACACCAGGCGGGAUGGUGUCACAGAGAAGCAUAGAAAGAUGAGACCUGCAGCGCCGUCCCUGGAGAGGAGCGUGUUGUUGUGGACCCAAGUGCGGUCUAGGACCAGGCUGUUGUGUUUAUCACAACUACACAAACACAAGACACCUGUGCAUUCCAGACCUUUCUCCCUCCCUAGAAAUAGUCCCCAAAGCAUUCUUCCUAAAUAGGAUGACUUCAAAUGUGAGAAAAGCCAGAAUACCAGUAGCUGCUACUGAAACAAGGAUGGGAAUAUAUGUGUCUGGUCUCAAACUUCAUCACCAACCCGACUCAAAUCUCCCCUCGCCAUUAAAUAUUAUCCCCACUGCAGGGCAAGCCUGUGAGAUGGAGUGUUGCGCUUCAAGCCACAGAGUGACUGAUACAUAUAUAUAUAAUAUAUAUUAUCAACGUUACAUAAUUAAAAUUCCCGCUUGUAGAUGCUAUGACAGGCUAAGCAGCCCAGUGAACUUCCUGGAAGACCACAGCAACCACCUGCCCCCAUCCCACACACAGCCCUGGGAAUCGCGCUGGGUGACUACUGCACCCCAGGAGGAAGGCACACACCUGCGAGAACAGGGAAGGGAACAACGAAGCUUAACAUAGCUCCUGUUGCGCCUACGGUUAAUAUAGUUAUGCUAGCAAUCACAAGUGUGUCCCAAAAUACAAUUUAAGGCUCUCUUCACACAACCAAAGGGCAAAAGGAAAACUAAAGAGGAAUUUGGCAUUUGUGGGAAAGCUCAAGGUGAGAGAUUGACAUCCUAACCCACUUGAACUAAGCAACCUUACGGGCAGAAUUAGAAGGAAACUGGGUGUUUGGGGAGUAGCUGUGAAUUCAGGAAGAAAGACGGCUCCAAUGAGAGAGAAGGGCUGGGAAUUGCUGUGGAGCCAGGCUGGUCCCUCUUGUGCAUACACCGCACUCCUCCUGGCAUUUCCGAGGGCAGAAAGUAGGAAACUCAGGUGAGUCAGGAUCCCAGGGGCUUAGAGAACAACUUCUGCUGGAGGCUAAGAGGCCCUGGGUUCCACAAAAAUGAAGACAGCCUAGGAAAGAAGAUGCAGCAAAAAUAAAGGCUUCAACAGCCAGAAGCAGCAGCCAAGUUCAAUUACACAGAACGUGGGAGCUGCUUAUUUAAAAUGCGAAUUGGUAAUUUCAGACGGUGAGUAACCUUGAUGUUUUCUGUGAAAAAACCCCGCUGCUUGAAUCCUCUCACUCUUUUGAAGGGAAACAAACCCCGUAUUUUGUAUUUAAAAAGCAGUCUAUGUGGCUAGAUGCAGACUAUGGGAAGCACAUUCAUACAAAUUAAAAAUUGCUCCAAGUUUUCCUCAAGCUCCGUUUCAGAAUCAAGAUUGCUCCAAGUUUUCCUCAAGCUCCGUUUCAGAAUCAAGAUGGACAGAAAAACGGCCCUAACCAGCGACAAGCUGGUGAAGCUCCGUGCCCGGUGUGGCUGCACCUGUCAGAGCAAACAGGCGCCAGCCCGGCUGUGACAGCACCUCAUCGCGUGACGCCGUAACUCUGCAUUUUACUGUGCCCAAGAGACCAGUCUGAACAACUGGUCGACAGGCCGGACUCCACCCGGCCCUUUUCUUUGUCUGAUAGCUGAACAAAAGAAGGGAUUUUAAUAAUUGAACGACUGCUGUUCAGUUGCUAUAUUUUUAACAAUAGCUCAGGACAUGUUGAGGCCAAAUGGACGAGGAGAAUUUUCUCAGCAAGAUUUGCUAAAUUUUUUAGUGAGUGGUAGCGGUGACGGAGGGACACUGGAUGUGAAGCCAGAUGGGGCCAAAUCUCCACUCGAGGGAGCAGAAGGCAGCUCAGGUCCAGGCCUGCGUCACCUGAGGGCACCGGCAGGCCCACGUGGAAGCUUCCGGAGAACAUGGACUGCGCUAUUUCCUCGGGGCAUGAUGGGCUGGUGAAAACGGUGAGCUCCAAAGAAAACAAACCCAACAAACUGAACAGUGGUUUGAAUUGUAAACCCUCCCCUCAGACAAAUUUGUAAGGACCUGGAAAGGGGUUUUAAAGGCUCACUGCGCACUCACGGGCCCUGGCUCACCAAGGAAGGACGAAGGAAGGGAGGUCUCCAAACUCAGGGACGAAGCGCUAUUUUUCUUCAAAAAGAAAAAAGACAACACAGGAAAGAGUAAAACAUAGCCGAUGUAAAUUAAUGCCCCUAAAAUAACAGGGGCUCGGAAUGCGGGCUUCUUAACAGAUAUCCUGCCAAGACACAUUGUUGACUGUGUCAGACAAAGCUGCUGAGAUGAAAAGGAAGCGGUGCCCCUGGCAAGGCUGGGGCUCCAGCUUCAUUUAUGCAUGACGGAAACUCACAGUAAAACGAAGGCCAUCACCAGUCACGUCUUUUACUGAGAAAGCCCUUUGAUGAGGAUUUCCCCGAAAACACUCUCACCUACCACGUGAAAACGGGGACACCCUCUCACCAAGAAGACACACUUGCAAAAUCUUUCCACCAACAGGAGCCUGAGAAAGUCACAGGGAGAGUUCUGGGCAUCCCCUCAGUGGAUCCCCUCCCGCAGCUUCUAGAGCAGGGAAGAAAUUCAUACUGCCUCCAUUAUUUAUGGGAGGCAAUAUCUGGCUGCUCCCCCUACACUCACACCCCUAUUAGCAUGAGUUCGUUCUUCUUGGCUAUUCGGGGACUUAAAUAAAAACAAGUCUGAAAAGCACUGUACUUUAGCCCAUAACCUCAAAGCUCACCUGACAGAGGAGGGAGACAAUGCGUCUGAGUAAACACGUGGGUACUGUCACUUCCCUCUUCUCCACCCUCCAGCCCCGCCUCAGCUCAAACACAGGGCGCCCCUCCUUCCUUUCUGGGUGGAAGCUGUGGGAGCCGCCAGCAGCCAUCUUUCAGGCCCAUCCACUGCAAGAGAAAAUGAGGCCAAGGUACACAGAGCACUUGAGCCCCGUCUGCAGCCAGCGUCAUCCUUGGAUUCCCCUAGACAUGGUGGCAACUUAAAAAGUAAUCAACGAAGGUGCUUCCCUGUGAACCGUCCCAGGCUGAAGCCUCAUGAAGACUUCUCCACAGGAGACAGCAGGUGCUACUCUGUGAUCCCGAGAGACCCAGGGCGGAACCAUCCCUCGGAGACCAGCGGAGACGCCGACCUCCCCACUGGAUUCUGCUAAGAUGAACCACUGGAGCGGCCCAUGCGGCAGCCGCCCACCACGGCCCGCUGCCUCUGCGCUGGCUCAGACACUGCUCCCCGGAUGCUGUGUGCAGCUGUAGGCGGAAUCAGGACGUGAACUCAGACCACAUGCUGAUGAGGUCUCUCAGAUGUGGUAGGAAUAAUUAAUCAAGUUAUUCCAUUUCAUAAACUAGGCCAUCCUAACAGGCAUCAGUUUAAAAUUUACUACGGUGACACUGAAAAUAAAUCCUCAAACUGACAAAGCUCACA
Long non-coding RNA from Equus caballus (horse), 8412 nucleotides. RefSeq lists it as uncharacterized. The record is from RefSeq and is a predicted model, not a curated record. NCBI's taxonomy places the organism in Eukaryota, Metazoa, Chordata, Mammalia, Perissodactyla, Equidae.